RNAcentral lists this ribosomal RNA (482 nucleotides) under uncultured bacterium. Its description in RNAcentral is "partial 16S ribosomal RNA". It matches the Rfam family "Bacterial small subunit ribosomal RNA", at positions 28 to 507 of the family's 1533-position model. The record is from RNAcentral.
GAUGAACGCUAGCGGCAGGCCUAAUACAUGCAAGUCGGACGGGAUUCAGGAGCUUGCUUCUGAUGAGAGUGGCGCACGGGUGCGUAACACGUAUGUAACCUACCUUUAUCAGGGGGAUAGCCUCUCGAAAGAGAGAUUAAGCCCGCAUAAAAUCACAGCACAGCAUUGUGUAAUGAUCAAAUAUUUAUAGGAUAAAGAUGGGCAUGCGGAACAUUAGCUAGAUGGCGGGGUAACGGCCCACCAUGGCGACGAUGUUUAGGGGAUCUGAGAGGAUGGCCCCCCACACUGGUACUGAGACACGGACCAGACUCCUACGGGAGGCAGCAGUAAGGAAUAUUGGUCAAUGGGCGGAAGCCUGUACCAGCCAUGCCGCGUGCAGGAAGACGGCCCUACGGGUUGUAAACUGCUUUUAUACGGGAAUAAACCCAGAUACGUGUAUCUGGCUGAAUGUACUGUAAGAAUAAGGAUCGGCUAACUCCGUG